UGGGGUAUAUUGCACAAUGGGCGCAAGCCUGAUGCAGCCAUGCCGCGUGUAUGAAGACGGCCUUCGGGUUGUAAAGUACUUUCAGCGGGGAGGAAGGGAGUAAAGUUAAUACCUUUACUCAUUGACGUUACCCGCAGAACAAGCACCGGCUAACUCCGUGCCAGCAGCCGCGGUAAUACGGAGGGUGCAAGCGUUAAUCGGAAUUACUGGGCGUAAAGCGCACGCAGGCGGUUUGUUAAGUCAGAUGUGAAAUCCCCCGGCUGAACCUGGGAACUGCAUCUGAUACUGGCAAGCUUGAGUGUCGUAGAGGGGGGUAGAAGUCCAGGUGUAGCUGGGAAAUGCGUAGAGAUCUGGAGGAAUAACGGUGGCGAAGGCGGCCCCCUGGACGAAGACUGACGCUCAGGUGCGAAAGCGUGGGGAGCAAACAGG
This 429-nucleotide ribosomal RNA is filed under the name Chloroflexota bacterium. Its description in RNAcentral is "Chloroflexi bacterium partial 16S ribosomal RNA". It matches the Rfam family "Bacterial small subunit ribosomal RNA", at positions 355 to 776 of the family's 1533-position model. Lineage: Bacteria; Bacillati; Chloroflexota. The record is from RNAcentral.